Long non-coding RNA from Felis catus (domestic cat), 2823 nucleotides. RefSeq lists it as uncharacterized. The record is from RefSeq and is a predicted model, not a curated record. Lineage: Eukaryota; Metazoa; Chordata; Mammalia; Carnivora; Felidae. The transcript is spliced from 3 exons.
UUGUGUACAGCAACAAUAAAGCCGUCACUUGGGCCAUCAGCCCAGGGGACCCUCCUGUUCCCAAACUUUCUCUUCUCUCUUUUUUUCUUUCUUGCAUUCCCCUACCCUCAGGACCCUGACCUCGGUGUUUGUUGCGCCGGUCGCGACACCUGGGAAUUUCUGAUUGCAUAAUGGGCUUUAUGCAAAAUUCCAGUUUUUGUCUCCUCAGCCCAGUGAUAUGCUAGCAAAGUUGAGGCUUUUGCUUUCUGCUUCAUCUCUAGUCCCUGAGAUGUAAGUGAGAAAUGCCUCCAAAGAAAGUUGGCAGUGAAUACAGGGGCCCAUCCUAACAAGUCUUCCAUAGGUCAGAUCUACGCCCCACAACGACUGGAGGUUUUAAUUGCUCUCUGAUAGAUUUGAAUGGUCUUCUUUUGUGUGACUGUAUUUUAUCCUGCUUUUAUAGUCUUUUGCUGGAGGAUCAGUCUGAAACAAGCCAUUCCAUCAAAGUUCUCAGUGAUUCUGAUGCCAUUAACCCAUUUUCAGACUUAUCUCUUACACUCCUAGGACCUCAGGGCUACAAAGUGAGGUCCUGCACCCGUGCUUUAAUAAAAUCACCUUUUUGCACCGAAGACGUCUCGAGAAUUCUUUCUUGGCCGUCAGCUCUGGACUCCCAUCACUCCAAAACUUCAUCUCCAGUAACUGCACAUAGGAAACGGUGAUUUUAAGACUCUCAGUUUCUGAACUCUACUUCCUCUCCUUCCGGCUCGCUUGUGUCACGCCUCUACUUUGACCUCAUUGAGAUGUCUAAAUCCCUGACCUUACCCUGUCUGCAUGUCCAUCUCAAACCUCUUGUGGUGAGUUCCCGCUUUAUCAAGUUUAUGUCUCAUGGUCAUGUCUCUCUCUCUGUACCAUUUUGCUGAUAAAAUCUCAACCCAGUGGAAUUCAACCCCAUGCUUCCCUAACCUUCCAGCUAAAGGUUGCUGGAGAAAAUCUCACAGUCACGGUGAUCCCUUUGAAUUUAAAAUUAUGAUCACAAGCCUCUUAUGAACACUCUGUUACCAGACAACUCUUUGUUUCUCUAAUAAGUUUGGUUUCUGUCUCCCGCUAUGGCUACCGCUCCAUUUCUUUGUUUCUCUUCAAAGCCGAAUGUUUGGAAUGAGUUAUAAAUACUCAUCUCUACCUCUUCAACCCAACCACUCAUUAAAAAAAAUUUUUUUUUUACAUUUAUUUAUUUUUUGAGAGUAUAGAGAGACAGAGCACAAGUUGGGGAGGGGCAAAGAGAAGAGACACAGACUCCGAAGCAGGCUCUAGGCUCUGAGCUGUCAGCACAGAGGGGCUCGAACUCACAAACCGUGAGAUCAUGACCUGAGCCGGUCGGACGCCUAACCGACUGAGCCACCCAGGCGCCCCUAACCACUCAUUUUUCAAUCCACUUGGAUCUGGCUGAUGGUGCUCUUAUUAAGUUCACCAAAGAACUCUGCUCCCAAAGCCAGUGGCUCGAUCUGUCUUCCUCAGCAAGCUCAGACAAAACCUUUCUCUCCUCCUUUUUCCUACCUCUGGUGUUCCUCCUUCUCAGUCUCCCUCACUAGUUUCUCUAUUUCUACAAAGCCUCUAAAUGUUGAAAAGCCCUUGAACUUGGUCCUGGGCCCCCUUCUAUAGCUGCACUCACUCCCGUGAGGACUGUAUCCAGCUCCAUGGCUGUAAAUGCCAACUCUAAGCUGAUGAUCCCCCAAAUCCUAUCUGCAGGCUUGACUCUUCUCAGAGUUUUAGACUCCUAGGAGAGGUCAGACCUAAAUUAAUCUCUCUGCUGGCAUAUUUAAUAAGCACAAAACAGAGUUUACUGUGCCCACAACAGAGCUCUUCAUCUUCCCCAAAUGCCAAGCCUGUUUCCCCAUUAUCCUUUCCAUCUCAGUAAAUGAAACACCCUCCAUUCAGUUGCUCAGACUAAAACCCUGGGGGUCAUCCUUGCUUUCUCUCUUUCCCCCAACCCAUUCCCACAGGCAAUACAUAAUCAAGGUCUGCCAGUCCUAUCUCCAAAAUACAUUUCUGAAUAUGCUCAUUUCUGUCUACCUUCCCCAGGCCAGGCCACCUUUAUCUCCUAGCUGGGGGUAACCCAACAGCCCUACCAACUGGUUUCCCUGACUCAAUUCUCCAAUCUCUUUUCCCAACAAUAGCCAGGAGGAGUUUUUAACGAUCCAAAUCAGAUGAAGUCAUUUCUAUCAGUGCUUCAACACUAGUGCAUUGGAAGGGUACAAUAAACAUCUGUUAACAGAAUGAACGGAUAGAUGAAUGACUGACAAGGCAACUUGCUCACGGUCCUGGAGGUAUAACCAAAACCAGAGUCUUAUUUCAUCACAAUGUAACACCUGCGCAUAGGACCAGGAAGAGUGCCGGCCCUUAUUCUCCAGUGCUCUUGCUGAGAGCAACCAAUCACGCUUUGCCAAAUUUCAAAACAGAUACUAUACAAUAGCUAUGUUUUAUGCACAGUAAUACUACAAUGAUUUCAGAAUUUUUUCAUUUCAUUUUGUAAUCUUGCUUACGCGCCCAACCAUAGUAAUCUUGCUUACGCGCCCAACCCGAGGGAAGGUCCCUAGCCGCUUCGCAACCCGGGCUCCAAGUUGCAUCAGCCAAAAGAAACUUCAUUUCCCAAGCUUCCCUGGGACGAAACUACCCACAACCCUAACCAUCACCGAGCAGAGAGCCUACCACCAGCCUGUAUGCAAAUAAGACUCAAAAUAGCAUAAAAGACCUGUGACCCCGUUUAUCGGGGCUCUCCCGCUUUCUAACACUGGGGAGCCCUGGUGCACCAGUAAAGACUCUCUGCCGACGUCGGAAGAGAGUCGUGAG